GUGAUGAUGGCAGAGAGGUCACACCCGUUCCCAUACCGAACACGGAAGUUAAGCUCUCUAGCGCCGAUGGUAGUUGGGACCUUGUCCCUGUGAGAGUAGGACGUCGCCAAGC
Molecule: ribosomal RNA, 112 nt
Filed under: Bacillus cereus
Lineage: Bacteria; Bacillati; Bacillota; Bacilli; Caryophanales; Bacillaceae
Also listed under: 9 other names
Source: RNAcentral